UAGAGUUUGAUCAUGGCUCAGAUUGAACGCUGGCGGCAGGCCUAACACAUGCAAGUCGAGCGGUAACAGAUCCAGCUUGCUGGAUGCUGACGAGCGGCGGACGGGUGAGUAAUGCAUAGGAAUCUGCCCGAUAGUGGGGGAUAACCUGGGGAAACCCAGGCUAAUACCGCAUACGUCCUACGGGAGAAAGGGGGCUCCGGCUCCCGCUAUCGGAUGAGCCUAUGUCGGAUUAGCUGGUUGGUGAGGUAAAGGCUCACCAAGGCGACGAUCCGUAGCUGGUCUGAGAGGAUGAUCAGCCACAUCGGGACUGAGACACGGCCCGAACUCCUACGGGAGGCAGCAGUGGGGAAUAUUGGACAAUGGGGGCAACCCUGAUCCAGCCAUGCCGCGUGUGUGAAGAAGGCCCUCGGGUUGUAAAGCACUUUCAGUGAGGAAGAACGCCUGGUGGUUAAUACCCAUCAGGAAAGACAUCACUCACAGAAGAGCCG
This 488-nucleotide ribosomal RNA is filed under the name Halomonas sp. M4-C6. Its description in RNAcentral is "bacterial SSU rRNA". It matches the Rfam family "Bacterial small subunit ribosomal RNA", at positions 1 to 492 of the family's 1533-position model. The record is from RNAcentral. Lineage: Bacteria; Pseudomonadati; Pseudomonadota; Gammaproteobacteria; Oceanospirillales; Halomonadaceae.